Molecule: unclassified non-coding RNA, 396 nt
Filed under: soil metagenome
Description: partial contains 5.8S ribosomal RNA, internal transcribed spacer 2, and large subunit ribosomal RNA
Rfam family: 5.8S ribosomal RNA (bases 1-122)
Source: RNAcentral
GAUGAAGAACGUAGCGAAAUGCGAUACUUGGUGUGAAUUGCAGAAUCCCGUGAACCAUCGAGUCUUUGAACGCAAGUUGCGCCCGAAGCCAUUAGGCCGAGGGCACGCCUGCCUGGGUGUCACACACCGUUACCCUCGCGCCAACGUCCAUCGUUGGCCGCGGCGCGGGGCGUGCGCUGACCUCCCGCGAGCGGGGUCUCGUGGUUGGUUGAAAAUCGAGUUCGCGGUCGAGGGUGCCGUGAUGAAAUGGUGGAUGGGCGACGCCCGAGGCCAAUCACGCGCGACUCUGUCCGGCUCGGACNCCUGGACCCCUUCGGCGUCUCCGGACGCUCUUUGGCGAGACCUCAGGUCAGGCGGGGCUACCCGCUGAGUUUAAGCAUAUCAAUAAGCGGAGGA